RNAcentral lists this ribosomal RNA (487 nucleotides) under uncultured candidate division CAB-I bacterium. RNAcentral's name for it is "bacterial SSU rRNA". It matches the Rfam family "Bacterial small subunit ribosomal RNA", at positions 292 to 793 of the family's 1533-position model. The record is from RNAcentral.
CUGAGAGGGCGGCCAGCCACAUUGGGACUGAGACACGGCCCAAACUCCUACGGGAGGCAGCAGUGGGGAAUCUUCUGCAAUGGGCGCAAGCCUGACAGAGCGGCGUCGUGUGAAGGAAGAAGGCCUGAAAUAGGUUGUAAACUUCUUUUACUGAGUAAUGAAUAAUGACAACGCAGUAAAAAAGUAUCGGCUAACUCCGUGCCAGCAGCCGCGGUAAUACGGGGGAUGCAAGCGUUAUCCGGAAUCACUGGGCGUAAAGCGUCUGUAGGUGGUUUAGUGUGUUCUUAGUUAAAUUAUGAAGCUUAACUUCAUGAAAAGUAAGAAAACUAUUAGACUUGAGUACGAUAGGGGUAAGAGGAAUUCUUCGAGAAGUAGUGAAAUGCGAAGAUACGAAGGAGAAGAUCAUAAGCGAAGGCUUCUUACUGGGUCGUAACUGACACUGAGAGACGAAAGCUAGGGGAGCGAAUGGGAUUAGAUACCCUGGUAG